AAAAAAAAAAAAAAAAAAAAAAAAGAAUUUGAAAAGUCACUUAUCU
Molecule: non-coding RNA, 46 nt
Filed under: Alexandrium margalefii
Lineage: Eukaryota; Dinophyceae; Gonyaulacales; Pyrocystaceae
Source: RNAcentral